Molecule: long non-coding RNA, 511 nt
Organism: Drosophila willistoni
Lineage: Eukaryota; Metazoa; Arthropoda; Insecta; Diptera; Drosophilidae
Exons: 2
Source: RefSeq, a predicted model, not a curated record
CAAAGAAUCAAGCUAAUUUAACUAAAUACAUAUCUAAAAUCCAGCCGCAGCCGCUAGCAGUUCCAACUGGAGCUCCUCCUGCAUCUUCUACUGCACCACGUGGCCCGUCACCUGGUCCUAAACGUCAUAAAGCUGCACCUGUACCUGAAAAAAAUAUAAAAAUGUUGAAAAAUACUACUAAACCAACCAAUUAUUCACCUGCCAUACAAAUGCCGCCAGCCGCAACACCCGCAACAGCCGCACCUGAAAACGGAGAAAAAACAAAGUUAAAUUUAACUACAAAUAUUGGAAAAACUAAAAGCCAACAAUACUCACCUAAAAACUCAACGCGGCCACCUGCAUCCCAUGGAGUCUAGCUGUUCCCGUCCUAACACCUUUACUCUGUCGUCGGUGGAGGUCUCCAGUGAUGAUUCAGCAGCCAUGUUCCUCUAAAAUAAUAAUAAUUAAUUUAUAAUUUCCAAUAUUGGUUAAUCUUAUUGUCAAUUUUUAUACUUAUGUCACAUUUUUCUAA